This is a long non-coding RNA of Neopelma chrysocephalum (saffron-crested tyrant-manakin), 1189 nucleotides long. RefSeq lists it as uncharacterized. The record is from RefSeq and is a predicted model, not a curated record. The transcript has 2 exons. NCBI's taxonomy places the organism in Eukaryota, Metazoa, Chordata, Aves, Passeriformes, Pipridae.
GUCACAGCCUUGUCCCAUUGCCCAGGGCCUUUCAGUUUGGAGCAUCUCCAAGGAUGGAGAUCCCACAGCCUCUCUGGGCUUCUGUUCCAGUGGUUACUCACCUGCAUAGAGAUGUUUUCCUUUGGUAAUUGUAAGGAAAUUAUUAUCUUUUCAAUGCAGUCAUUAAAUGUGAUAGGGUAACUUGAAUCGAUAAUAUUUUAUAAAUAACAUGAAUUAUAAGUUUAUUAUAAUGUAUUACGUAUAUUUAUUAUAAGUGUUUGACAGAUUUAGUGCAUAUUACACAGGAUACAUGUGGAAUAUAUUAUACAUCUAUUGUGAUUGCAAUGACAAGCAACACACAGGGCAGUGUUGUUUAUCUUAGUAAUCUUUCCCAUCUCUGCUGUAAAAGUAUCUUGGUUUCGGAUUCAUUUCUCCUCCCAGCACGAGCAGUAGCAAACCCUUCUAUUUAUUUGUUCCACAGCGGAGCGAGGUCCUGGGAACUUGUGAGUGAUUUCUCCUGCGGUAUCUGACUGCCCUCUCGUGGCUGCAUGAUGCAGGUACACAUCACCGCAGUGAGUAUCUCCGCUUCCUUAUGCUGCUGCAGUAAAUUCCCUGUCAGAAUGUUCCGGCCAGCAUAAUCUCUUUUAAUUCCUGCCAGCCUGGAAUACUCGGUUAACUUUCCUUUUUUAGCUCCAGUUAUUUGCACAAACCCAGAGGAGCUCUUUGGCCUGAAGAGCUGCCUGAGGGAGCACAUGGAGCCUGGCACCAGCCAGGCUGGAACGUCUUCCCCAGAGUCCAGUUGCACUCUGGAGAAGAGAAAUGGAGAGCUGGGGGAGGCCUGAGCAAGUUCUGAAGGUGGUGGAAUUGCCUUUCUGUCCGUGUGCUGAGCUCCGGCUGCAGAGACUGUCAGGCAUUGUUGGCUGUGAGUUCCUGGGGUUCUCCCUGGGUAGUUUAUAGGGUAGAGAUUGAACAUAUUUAGGUAUUAAUGAGGUGAUCAGAUGUGGAGAGGUAGGGAAAUUUUGGGGGUUAAAAUCUGGGACAACCUGUAGCAGAGAGAAUGAAAAUGUUGUGUUGAAACAGAGGUGAUCAGGAGUGGGCUGGAAGGGAAAGUUGUGGGGGUGAGAUGGGAGAGAGUAUCCAUGGCAGAGAAUGAAUAUUUGGAGGUAAAACUGAGGGAAUCAGCAGUGGACAGGGAGGGAAAAAUGUGGGG